Molecule: ribosomal RNA, 261 nt
Filed under: uncultured archaeon
Lineage: Archaea
Description: partial 16S ribosomal RNA
Rfam family: Archaeal small subunit ribosomal RNA
Source: RNAcentral
CAGCCGUAAACUAUGCGCGUUAGGUGUAUCGGUGACCACGAGUUACCGAGGUGCCGAAGGGAAACCGUGAAACGUGCCGCCUGGGAAGUACGGUCGCAAGGCUGAAACUUAAAGGAAUUGGCGGGGGAGCGCCACAACAGGUGGAGCCUGCGGUUUAAUUGGACUCAACGCCGGGAAGCUCACCGGAUAGGACAGCAGAAUGAUUGCCGGGCUGAAGACCCUGCAUGACUAGCUGAGAGGUGGUGCAUGGCGUCAGUGACU